RNAcentral lists this ribosomal RNA (983 nucleotides) under uncultured bacterium. Its description in RNAcentral is "bacterial SSU rRNA". It matches the Rfam family "Bacterial small subunit ribosomal RNA", at positions 54 to 1053 of the family's 1533-position model. The record is from RNAcentral.
CAUGCAAGUCGAGGGGUAACAGGGAUUGCUUGCAAUCCGCUGACGACCGGCGCACGGGUGCGUAACGCGUAUACAAUCUGCCUUACACUGGGGGAUAGCCUUUAGAAAUGAAGAUUAAUACCCCAUGGUAUGUGACUGUGGCAUCACAGACACAUUAAAGGUUACGGUGUAAGAUGAGUAUGCGUCCUAUUAGUUUGUUGGUGAGGUAACGGCUCACCAAGGCGACGAUAGGUAGGGGCCCUGAGAGGGGGAUCCCCCACACUGGUACUGAGACACGGACCAGACUCCUACGGGAGGCAGCAGUGAGGAAUAUUGGACAAUGGAGGCAACUCUGAUCCAGCCAUGCCGCGUGCAGGAAGACUGCCCUAUGGGUUGUAAACUGCUUUUAUACGGGAAGAAACCCUCCCACGUGUGGGGGGCUGACGGUACCGUAAGAAUAAGCAUCGGCUAACUCCGUGCCAGCAGCCGCGGUAAUACGGAGGAUGCAAGCGUUAUCCGGAAUCAUUGGGUUUAAAGGGUCCGUAGGCGGACGAUUAAGUCAGGGGUGAAAGUUUGCAGCUCAACUGUAAAAUUGCCCUUGAUACUGGUUGUCUUGAAUUACUGUGAAGUGGUUAGAAUAUGUAGUGUAGCGGUGAAAUGCAUAGAUAUUACAUAGAAUACCAAUUGCGAAGGCAGAUCACUAACAGUAUAUUGACGCUGAGGGACGAAAGCGUGGGGAGCGGACAGGAUUAGAUACCCUGGUAGUCCACGCCGUAAACGAUGGAUACUAGCUGUUGGACUUUCGGGUUCAGUGGCUAAGCGAAAGUGAUAAGUAUCCCACCUGGGGAGUACGUUCGCAAGAAUGAAACUCAAAGGAAUUGACGGGGCCCGCACAGCGGUGGAGCAUGUGUUUAAUCGAUGAUACGCGAGACUACAGGCCUAAUGUAGAGUGACAGUCUAGAGAUAGAUUUUCCUCCGACACUUUACAGUGCUGCAUGAUGGUG